RNAcentral lists this ribosomal RNA (466 nucleotides) under uncultured bacterium. RNAcentral describes it as "partial 16S ribosomal RNA". It matches the Rfam family "Bacterial small subunit ribosomal RNA", at positions 28 to 507 of the family's 1533-position model. The record is from RNAcentral.
GACGAACGCUGGCGGCGUGCUUAACACAUGCAAGUCGAACGGAAAGGCCCUGCUUGCAGGGUACUCGAGUGGCGAACGGGUGAGUAACACGUGGGUGAUCUGCCCUGCACUUCGGGAUAAGCUUGGGAAACUGGGUCUAAUACCGGAUAGGAACCAUCUUUAGUGUGGUGGUUGGAAAGUUUUUUCGGUGUAGGAUGAGCUCGCGGCCUAUCAGCUUGUUGGUGGGGUAAUGGCCUACCAAGGCGGCGACGGGUAGCCGGCCUGAGGGGGUGUACGGCCACAUUGGGACUGAGAUACGGCCCAGACUCCUACGGGAGGCAGCAGUGGGGAAUAUUGCACAAUGGGCGCAAGCCUGAUGCAGCGACGCCGCGUGGGGGAUGAAGGCCUUCGGGUUGUAAACUCCUUUCGCUAGGGACGAAGCUUUGUUGUGACGGUACCUAGAUAAGAAGCACCGGCUAACUACGUG